GACGUAGGGGGCCAGCGUUGUUCGGAAUUACUGGGUGUAAAGGGUUCGUAGGCGGUGCGGCAAGUUGGGAGUGAAAUCUCUGGGCUUAACCCAGAGGCUGCUUCCAAAACUGCUGUGCUUGAGUGUGGGAGAGGCGCGUGGAAUUGCAGGUGUAGCGGUGAAAUGCGUAGAUAUCUGCAGGAACACCCGUGGCGAAAGCGGCGCGCUGGACUACUACUGACGCUGAGGAACGAAAGCUAGGGGAGCAAACAGG
RNAcentral lists this ribosomal RNA (253 nucleotides) under uncultured bacterium. RNAcentral describes it as "partial 16S ribosomal RNA". It matches the Rfam family "Bacterial small subunit ribosomal RNA", at positions 524 to 776 of the family's 1533-position model. The record is from RNAcentral.